GAUUAUCCUACUCGGAUAACUGUGGCAAUUCUAGAGCUAAUACGCGCAAGAAAGCUCGGACCUUACGGGAAGAGCGCAUUUAUUAGACCAAAACCAAUCGGGCUUCGGCCUGAGCUGUGGUGACUCUGAAUAACUAAGCUGAUCGCACGGUCUUAGUACCGGCGACGCAUCUUUCAAGUGUCUGCCUUAUCAACUUUCGAUGGUAGUUUAUGUGCCUACCAUGGUUGUAACGGGUAACGGAGAAUAAGGGUUCGACUCCGGAGAGGGAGCCUGAGAAACGGCUACCACAUCCAAGGAAGGCAGCAGGCGCGCAAAUUACCCACUCUCGGCACGAGGAGGUAGUGACGAAAAAUAAACGAGGCUAGUAUGGUCUGAGGCCCGCCAUCGGAAUGGGU
This 395-nucleotide ribosomal RNA is filed under the name Tardigrada environmental sample. RNAcentral describes it as "bacterial SSU rRNA". It matches the Rfam family "Eukaryotic small subunit ribosomal RNA", at positions 128 to 519 of the family's 1831-position model. Lineage: Eukaryota; Metazoa; Tardigrada. The record is from RNAcentral.